UGGGGAAUAUUGCACAAUGGGCGCAAGCCUGAUGCAGCCAUGCCGCGUGUAUGAAGAAGGCCUUCGGGUUGUAAAGUACUUUCAGCGGGGAGGAAGGGAGUAAAGUUAAUACCUUUGCUCAUUGACGUUACCCGCAGAAGAAGCACCGGCUAACUCCGUGCCAGCAGCCGCGGUAAUACGGAGGGUGCAAGCGUUAAUCGGAAUUACUGGGCGUAAAGCGCACGCAGGCGGUUUGUUAAGUCAGAUGUGAAAUCCCCGGGCUCAACCUAGGAACUGCAUCUGAUACUGGCAAGCUUGAGUCUCGUAGAGGGAGGUAGAAUUCCAGGUGUAGCGGUGAAAUGCGUAGAGAUCUGGGGGAAUACCGGUGGCGAAGGCGGCCCCCUGGACGAAGACUGACGCUCAGGUGCGAAAGCGUGGGGAGCAAACAGG
This 429-nucleotide ribosomal RNA is filed under the name Chloroflexota bacterium. RNAcentral's name for it is "Chloroflexi bacterium partial 16S ribosomal RNA". It matches the Rfam family "Bacterial small subunit ribosomal RNA", at positions 355 to 776 of the family's 1533-position model. Lineage: Bacteria; Bacillati; Chloroflexota. The record is from RNAcentral.